AAGCAUAUCAAUAAGCGGAGGAAAAGAAACCAACAGGGAUUGCCCUAGUAACGGCGAGUGAAGCGGCAACAGCUCAAAUUUGAAAUCUGGCUCCCCUAUGGGUGUCCGAGUUGUAAUUUGCAGAGGGCGCUUUGGCAUUGGUGGCGGUCUAAGUUCCCUGGAACAGGACAUCACAGAGGGUGAGAAUCCCGUAUGUGGCCGCCUUCCUCUGCCGUGUAAAGCCCCUUCGACGAGUCGAGUUGUUUGGGAAUGCAGCUCUAAAUGGGAGGUAAAUUUCUUCUAAAGCUAAAUACUGGCCAGAGACCGAUAGCGCACAAGUAGAGUGAUCGAAAGAUGAAAAGCACUUUGGAAAGAGAGUCAAACAGCACGUGAAAUUGUUGAAAGGGAAGCGCUUGCAGCCAGACUUGCCCGCAGUUGCUCACCUGGGCUCUCGCCCAGGGCACUCUUCUGCGGGCAGGCCAGCAUCAGUCCAGGCAGCCGGAUAAAGACCUCGAGGCAUGUAUCUUCCUUCGGGAUGACCUUAUAGGGGAGGCGUAAUGCGGUUAGCUUGGACUGAGGUCCGCGCAUCUGCUAGGAUGCUGGCGUAAUGGCUGUAAGCGGCCCGUCUUGAAACACGGACCAAGGAGUCUAACAUCUAUGCGAGUGUUUGGGUGUCAAGCCCGGACGCGCAAUGAAAGUGAACGGAGGUGGGAACCCUCUCGGGGGCGCACCAUCGACCGAUCCUGAUGUCUUCGGAUGGAUUUGAGUAAGAGCAUAGCUGUUGGGACCCGAAAGAUGGUGAACUAUGCUUGAAUAGGGUGAAGCCAGAGGAAACUCUGGUGGAGGCUCGCAGCGGUUCUGACGUGCAAAUCGAUCGUCAAAUUUGGGCAUAGGGCGAAAGACUAAUC
Molecule: ribosomal RNA, 887 nt
Filed under: Multiseptospora thailandica
Lineage: Eukaryota; Fungi; Ascomycota; Dothideomycetes; Pleosporales; Parabambusicolaceae
Description: eukaryotic LSU rRNA
Rfam family: Eukaryotic large subunit ribosomal RNA
Source: RNAcentral